GGAAGAUUUUUAUUUUUUUCACCUAUUAUUGCCAGUAGGCAGGACAGCACGGAAAGGGUCCAUAGCAAUAGCAACAAUAGCAUUAUAAUAUAUUACAGGGUAAAUGGGCAUGAAGACUAUAUAUAGCUAAAGAGAUAUUGUUUAUAUAUUGUUUUAAUUAAUAUAAAAUGUAGUAACUGGUAUAGCUUUUCUUGUUGAAUUGAUAAGGCACUUUUCAUUUUGCACCUUUUUUUCUUUAAAUUAAAUGCUAGCGUGUUCAUUGUUGUGUCGCACGUUCACCAGAAAGGCAAGUUUAACUGAAAAAAAAAAAAAAAAGGCUUGGAAGGUACGCGAGGAGGUGUUUAUGCUGCUGUUUUUAAAAAAUACUUUUAAAAGAAUGGCUGGUCAUAUCUAGAAAUGAUUAUGUUCAUUUUUUUAAUGUGGAAUUUAGUCUGAAACUGAUGUAGCCCUAAAGGAUGCUUUGCCUUUUGACAAGUUUUUUUUUUUUAAAAAAAAGUGUAUUUAAGCUUCCUACAAAGUAUAAUUGCAACUCUAGGCAGAGACUGACCAUGUACCAGGGGUCCUCAAACUAAGGCCCUCGGGCCAGAUGCGGCAGCUGAGGACGAUUAUCCCCCUCACCCAGGGCUAUGAAGUUUCUUUAUUUAAAGGCCCACAAAACAAAGUUUUUGUUUUUACUAUAGUCCGGCCCUCCAACAGUCUGAGGGACAAUGAACUGGCCCCCUAUUUAAAAAGUUUGAGGACCCCUGAUGUAGACUCUUAGGCACAUAUUGAAUAGCUUUUAAAAUGCUUCUUCAUCUCUCCUUAACCCACCAUCACCACCAAAUCCCAGAGCUCUAAGAAUGCAGAAUCCAGUGUUUGUAUUUAGAUAUCUCCCAGUAGUAAUCAUUAAGCUUUGGAACAAAUCAGUAACCAGUAUACUUAUUGGAAUUAAAUUUUUACUACCAGAACAAAUUUGUGAUCAUAAAGUAUAGACUAAAGGGAAGGAUAAAUUGAGGAUGAAAUGGGGUAGAAAAACAAUGUAUGGGUUCUUAUAUUGUGGGAAUUCUGAAAAUAUAUCACAGAAUAACUGUAAUUUAGCUAUUCCCAUAUUCUAGAAUUCUAGAAAAUAUUGCACUCUUCAUUUUGUAGGCAGCAGAGGGUAGAACAGGGACAAGAUAUAAGUUGAACCAUUUUUUCUUAUUUGUUAAAUAGUGAGUAAAAGGUCUUUAUGUUUAGAAAGUGAAGCUGAUACCAUCAAUACAUAGUGUCUUGGCCAAUCAGGGCUGCAAUUUAGUAAUAUCAGGAGGGACAUGAUUGGAGUUUUCAGGCAGUGGGAGAAAGGGGAUUUCCUCUAUCCCUACAGAAAAGGAGUAAUUGCAAGGUAUAGUGAACAUUUUUCCAGAACAGGAUGGUCAUUCCUUCCUCUUAAAUCUAUAAAUGUUCAUUUUUGAUCCUACAAGGUGUCAUGUUGAGCACUAUACAUGGGAUUUAGACACCUGAUUUUCUUUGGGGGUUUUUUUGUUGAACCCUAUUACCCAUAUGGUACUCUCUGCCUCAAGGCAAAAAGUAUUUGAUGGCUGUGAUAUUAGUUAAUGACCAUUACACACUCUAGAGACCUGAAUAUUUUCAUUCUAUUUUAUCAUGCUAGGAGCAAAACAGUAGUGCCAAAUGUAUUUGCAAGGACAAUUUUUUUUUUUUUUAAUUUCAGUAGCAGAAUGGAACUCACACACCAAAAAAUGAAUGUGCAAAACCCAGUCUGCUUUCUGGAAUUGUGGUCACCCACAGUUGUUGGGAACAUGUUUUGUGGCUAGCCACUCAUUCUCAAAUCCAAACUUUCCCCAUGUUUCUUCAAUAUACCUUGCCUCACAUCUCCACAAAGCAAGUUGUAUCAACUCACAGUUUAGGAAGAGGUCUUCUACAGUUAAUACAAAGAAGAGAAUGUCUUUUGUGGUCUCAAGGUAACAAAUGGAAUUUCAGUCAGUUCUUCCUAUACCUGUAAAAACCUUUACUUUUCCAUUAAAAUUAUCUCCUGAAUCUUUCCCAUGGAAUAGUAACUUUAAUUCUGUUGCUAUUUUUGGUUUUAGGGAAAAAAGAGCAUUUAAUUUAUAUUCAACUAACUCCUUUACUUAGGGUUUUUCUUUUUUAAGUAAGAAAAGUCUUUUUUGGUGGGUCUGUAUGAAGCCUAAAUAACAUCUUGAGCAUUAAAUAGAUACAUAUACCUGUAUACAUAUAUAUAUAUUUGAUCAAUAAUCAUUGUCUAACAAUAAACAAAAAAAAGUAAUCUAUUUAAAUACCUUAACAUGUGGCUACAUGAACUAUUGAACUAUUAUCAGUUAACUAUGGAAGUUAACAGUCUAAAUAUGCUCCCCUAGACACUGACAGUUUCUGCAAAAUAUAUCUAUCUAUCUAUUUAUAGAUAGAUAGAUAUCAAUUCAAGGUCUUUAUUUGUCCAUUAUAUCCUACUGGGCUGAUUAAUAAAUUACUGGGGUUUUUUUCAUUGGUUUUAUUGUAAGUCAUUUCUGAUUUACUCAAUUUUGGAGGUAGUUUUAUUAAAGUAUGUUAACUUUUUUUAACCAAAGCUUUCUAAAUAUGACCAGCCUCAGGUGCUAGUACUUUUAAAGAGCAACUAAACUUAAUUUCAGUGUCCAUUUUCAAGAUUCCAAUGAGCUAAUCUUUUCUAAGGGUGAGGCAGACCUUAAUAUUGAAUACCUGUCAAGAUUUCUGUGAUACUUGUUCUAGAUACUUGUGCCAGAUGUAAGUCUUGAGUAUCAUCACUUCAGAAUGACAUUGCUUUUGAAGGAGAGGCAGGGAUAAAUCAAGUUAGAAUAAUAUAAUGCUGCUACCAGGUCUUUUUGAAAGACCAAGAGGAUGUUGAAUGUUUCACAUUAGACACAGUUAAUAGGCAUAGACCAAUAGGAUCCAAGAUCUGAAGUGAGGUAAUGUAUUCCAUUAAUAAUAUGCUGUGCAUAAAUGAAUGUGAAAAACUUUGAAUUUUCACUUUCUGCUCUCAUUUCUUCCUUCUAUUAUUAUUCUAUAUAUUCCUUUGCUAACAUGGGAAUAAUUACUUUUAAUCAUUCUUAUAAUUGAAUUGCCUAUAUCUAAAAGUAUUCACCAGAUGAUUUCUUUUCUUUUCUUUUCUUUUCUUUUUUUUUUUUUUUUGGACCAGUCCCAUAUCAACAUUAUAACAUGAUUGAUUGAGCUUUCAUACCACUCUCAAUUAUAACAAAUAUGGCUUAUAAAGAAAAACUAGAUAGUUUAUUGCAAUGGUAUCUAUUCAGCUUGUUUCUUCUUGUGACAAUUUUGGCUUUGUUCACAGUAGAAAAUAAAGCUACAACUUAUGGCUAAAUGAAUCUUCAAGCAGAUUAUUUGCUUUAAAGUAAAUUUGGUUGUUUUUUUUUUUAGUGAGUGCAGUAUAUUCUUAGGUCUCUAAAAUCCUUAUUCACCCUUUAUAACUUAAACAAAGUUGAUUUAAGACACUGCUUCUUCUAAGUUUGGUUGUUCUUUAUGAAGUUUGUACAUUUAUAGUAUGGAUACCCAGGUCUAUGUGAGCAUGUGGGAAGGUUGGGGAGUGAAUGAAUUUGUGUGCAAUGUGAGUGAGCGUCUGACUGCUUCUAGGCUACUAAGUGUCAAUGGAAAAAGAAAAUGUAUUCAAAAUAUGUAAGUCAAAAAUAGAAGGUGGAAAAAAAGAUUUAUUCUAUACAAAGCCUUGUCUGGACCACUUUAGAGAGACUUCUAUUUUUUUAACCCUUCUAUAAAUAUUUGAUGGCACUUGAAAUAUUCCUGCAAUAAAAUGUGAUUUGUGUAAAGAAAAAAAGAUUUUGUAAUGUGAAACAAUGAAAGAAAGUAAUGUAAUUUUCUAAAAAAAAAAUACAAACAAACAAACUUUGUAUUAUUUUCUUGAUGGAAUUUGUCUAUCUGUCUUUGGAAAACUUUUUAUUUCAUUGAAUGUGCCAUAGUAGAAAUACGUGUUCUUAAGUUUUUGACUAAGGAAUAGCUGUUUGUGUUCCGACAUUCCAAAAUGCAAGACAACAUAGUAGAGUCCUAAUUAAAAAGUUGAAUUAGUCUGUAAGCUUCUAUCAUUGUUGCUUUUUUGCACAUGUUCUUCAUUCCUCUAUAGUGCAAUAUGUACAUAGAGCACUUGCGGGUGUACCUUGAUCCCUCAGGGAAAAAAAAAUUACAUAUUUGUACAGAUUUUUUUUUUUUUUUUUGCCUUUUCUUUUUUUUUUUUUUCUUUUUUUUUCUUUUUUGCUAAGGAAUGUCGAUUGAAUCACUUGUUUAUUGUUGAGAGGCAGCCAGAUAAUUAUCCUAAAAGCCACUGUUUCAAACAUUGAUUGUUUAAAUCAUAUAUGUCCUUCUAGUACAUUUAUUUUUAAAAAAUAAAAAGUUAUUUUCUGACAGUUCUUUGUGCUGAUUGGUGAAAAAAGGGUAAAUAAGCACCUUAUGAUUGACUUAACUGUGAAUGACAAUCCAUCUUGUUAUCAACAAUAGAAGCCCUAUCGUUUUUGGAGUUGGGGUUAAGAGUCAGAAACUAAUGUGCUCAGGGAUCUUCUAAAACUCUUAAAACAGGGUGGCCAGUACUACUGGGACAAAUUUCAUUUUUCAUUAAUAUUAAUAAUAUCCCACCAAGGCACAAGUGAACUGCAUAAGAACAUUAGUGUGUAAACUCUUCACAUUUGUCUUGUUUUGUUGUCUGAAACCUAUAUUUUCUUUGCUCUUAUGUGCUUAUAAACAGCAUAAAGCUGUACUAUUCUGUUCUAAAGUUAAAUGAAUAUUAAAUAUAUUAACAAAGGAACAUUGUUCAGAGUUCCAUAGCACACAUUCUGUGCUUGUUCUGUUAUUAUCAAAGUGUUCAUGUAAAAUACAUUUUAAGCAUUCUACAAUGAAAAGUAUAUUCCAGAAUUUAUUUAUGGAUAAAAUUAAAAGACACUAUUCCAAACAAGAAGUGAAUAACUGUUCUCUCACUCUUGCUCUAUCACCUUUAUCUCCUCUCUCCACCCAAUAUAACACCCCCUCCCCUUCUCUUUCUCUUCCUUUUUGCAAUUCUUUCCUCUAUUCCAUUUUUUUGCUAUAGAUAUAAAUAUGCAGAAGAAAGCUUUAAAUACUUUAUAGACAAAAUAUUCCAACAUAAGCAUAUUUUGAGACCUUCAUCUAUCCACUGAAUCAGGAACAGAUAUAUACACACAUAUAUAUGUAUAUGUGUGUGUGUGUGUGUGUGUGUGUGUGUGUGUGUGUGUGUAUUGCAUAACUUAUUAAAUUUCGGUUAAGAAAAAAUUUUUUUACUACUGUAGUGUCAAAAUAUAAUAUAAUGGAAUGUCUUUAAAACAUAUUACAAGUUAAAUCCUCCCACUCAGAAACACAAUAGGGACAUAUGACAGAUAUGAUAUGUUCCAUCUGUAGAAGUUUUUCUAUCCUUCAAUGCCUGCCUUAUAAAGCAGUUUUAGAAUAUUGAGUUAAUUUCCAUCACUUAUUUUAAGACACACAAAGUCUUUCCUCCAUCUAUAUCUGCAUUGUAGAAUGGCCAAACAUUUCCAUGUAGCAGUUGUUUCUUUUCAAUUUUUCUUUAGUGACAUCAUCUCUUGUUGGGCUCUUCAUUUAAUAACUUCUUUCAGCACCAAACUGCCAUUGUAGAUUACAAGAACCUUAUACCCACUUAUGAGGCAGGAAUCUGACCUCUAAAACUUAGAGCAAUAAUUACAUUUAGUCCAUAAAGGAAAUAUUUUUUUUUUGGGUAAUUCAACAUAAAAUGUAUUGGUCUAUGGAUUCAUUGUGGAAACUGCAUAUGAAUGUUUUAAGUGGAUGACUAGAAAAGUCAGUAUUUCUAAUCUGCAUUUAGUGUUAUGCUUUAAUUAUUGUACCACAUUAAACUUUUAUAUGUUAUUCCUUGAAACCUUUUCAUGGAACACAUUGCAUUCUCCAUACACUAUCAUGAUAUUCUCCAAGAAACAGUUCUAUGCUUUCAUUGUUCUUUGUGCACUUCAUCUAAUUGUGUCCCACCCAUUAACCCAAUCAGUCUUAAUAUGGAUUAAUACAUUUUCUUUGGAGCUGAUUAUCACUGAACAGAUUGCAUAAGUAAAUGCAAGCAACUCAUAAGCAAUAUAGUGAAUUUUAUUUCACAAAAAUACAUAUGUACUGUACACAUCUUUCUAAACUCCAAAUUCUCUUUUCUGUUUUGGUUUCAAUCUACAUGUAAAACAGUGGUAAGUGUUUUUAACAUUAGGAAAUUAGCUGGCUGCUUCUUUCUAUGUACCUGUAUUGUCUGCCUGCUCCUUUUGUGGAGAUGUGUUUUUGUAUUGGAUGUUUGGGCCAAUGGGAGGCUUCAAGCUACAACAUAUUUUCCCAAUUUAAAUAUAUUUAACAUAUGACAAACCCCAGACAAGGCUUUUAAAAUGUAUAAAGAACUGCAGUGUUAGGUGGUUUAUUUGCAAACCAUUUUCAAUGUUGUCCAUUUUUAUGGCACCUUUAACAAUAUUCUUGUUUCCAAAGUACAAAAAAAAAAAAAAUAGGUUAAAAAUACUCUAGCCAUAACUGAAUGUCAAGCAAUAAAAACAAAUGACUUUUUGUGCAUAGAUUUUAAAAAAAAUACAAAUUUUAGACAUCUGCAUGUAAAUGCAAUCUUGUUUACUGCUUUCUUCAACUUGAGCAACUGAUUCCUUAUUUUCCUGCUAACUUAAGGACUUGUAAUGGCCUGUAAACAUUUUCUCUUACUCUUCUUUCAAAUUUAUCUUUGUCUCUGCUUUUGAGUCAUGAUAUUUAAUGUUGUUCUGCUCACCUCUAUACAGUUAACUUUUUGGCUUUCAUUCUGUAUAGAUAAGAAAAUGUUAUAUUAUAAACAGCCUACUCAGUGCAAAUAUUUAUCUGUUUAUCAAAUACCACAUUAUUCUGUAUAAUACCUGUUUUACUAUAUAAUCUAUUUUAGACAUAGCUGUUUAGAACUAGAGUGUGCUAUUUUUGUGUUUUUCUGAUGUGUGGUGCUAGAUAAGUUACUUUUGUGAACAAAAAUCCCUUUUAUUCCUAGACAAUACCACCUUUGGGUCUUGUUAAUUUCACUGAGUAUAACUAUAUAUAUUUGUAUAUAUAUACAUAUAUAUAUAUAUAUAUAGCAUAUAUAUAUAUAUCUAUAUAUCUACCUGUACCCAACUGGUACCUGUAUCAGAGUGCUAGAUUUGGGACAUGCUUUUCUCUUUAAAUACAUAGUAUCAUUAUAUAAAUUAUUCUACAGUGUAUUUAAUUGGGAUAAAAUUACUUCCUUAGUAUUGAUAUUUGGCAUCAAUAGAGUGAAUUUUCUUAUAAAUAUGGAUUGUGAAAAUUUAGCACCUUUUUUUUUUAUUUGUUUUAUAACCUGGCUUUGUAAUAUUAUAUUUCUUAAGAUGAAAAAUAAUUUCCUGUAACUUCAAGACCUAAAGGCUCACUCUAGUUUCAAAAGCAAUACAUUUUUAGGUUUGUUUUUUUUUUUUUUAAAUAAUAAAUUAUAUUUGGCACCUGGUGCACUUAGCGCACCAAUUACAAAAAAAGAGACAUUUUAGAAAACAUUGUUGGUAGCUUGAUGGUAGAACAAACCUUCCAAACAAAAAGUUACUGGUAGAUGGAUAUGUUUGUCAUCUAGUAAAUGUGUGGGUCUCACAUUUGGAUAUGUUUAACUUGGAUAUGAAAUUUGUGUUAUCAGUCAAUUAUGUAAUGUUCAUUUUGAAUUAGCAAUUGGACGAGGAGCUAAUAAUUCUUCCAAACCCUUGGCAGGUUCAUUCUUGAAAGAAAUAUAUCAAAUAUCUAACUAAGGAUGUAGUUAAACCUUAUUAAAUAUUUAUUAGAAUUGUUCUGUGAUAUUACUGAAUUUAUAAGAUCUUUAGCAAAGAUUUUUGAGCAAUUUAUAAACCUAUAUGAAAUGUUUCUGUUUACUGCACUUUUUGUAACUGAAGGUGAUAAAUUCUAAUGUCAUGAUCCUGGCUUCCAUGCAUUGCAUUUGUACCCGCAAUCCCAGACAUUUUCCAUUUUUACGGAAGAUUUGUUGUUAUCAUAAAUAUAAAUGCAAUUGCACAUGGUGGGCAGGUUUCAUGAUCUCUAGAAUGCUAAUAAUAAUUACCUUUCAAAACUCAAUUGGCUAGAGGCUAGUGGAAAAAUAACACAACAUUUUAAUACAAAUCAUGAGGCCAUUCCUUCUUGCUUUAGCUUAAAAAGGAGAUACAGGCCUUUUUUACUCCAUUUAACAUCAUAGGCUGCUUAAGAGCAGGGAAUCUUAUCUUUUCUAUGUUCUCUAAAAUGCCCAGCACAUUGUCGGCAUUUAAUAAAGGUUAAGUAAUUAUAAUAAUAAUUGACUUGAUUGCAACAUUGUUUUUCGGAAUUGUUUAGGUGUAUUUAUAAAGUAUACCAAGCCUUAUGGUUAAUAUUUUCUCCUACAACCAAGUGUUUAAAGUAACAUUUAAAAAUACCACAUUAAAUGAUGAUUACAGAAGUGUGUAGGUCUAAGGAUGAAGCACACAAAUUUCACAAACCUCGCUGAGUUCCAGACUCAGCCUUCUGUAAAUAUUCAUGCAAGUACAAAAAAAAAAAAAAAAAAAUACUGUACCUAUAAAUAUCUGCUGUCUCUUUGUGUACAGUAUGUACAAACUCCUUUUUUUUCUGCCACAAUGAAAAUGCAAGCCAUUUACAAGAAUCCUAAAAAAUAGAGUAUUGUACUAAAACUUUGCUAAUGAUCUUUAUUAGAGGAUUGUUUAAAUUUUCACUUACAUUGGGUCUUCUUUUAAGUUCACUCUUAAAGUAGUCUGCUUAUAUUCAGCUGUUUGUUAUUUUACUGAGUCCUGAAAAAAAAAGUAUUUUGAUUCAUUUUGUAAAUACAGCUGUAAAAAAGAGAUUUAAUGUUGUCUUUUAAAUACUCCAAUUUUCAUUCUAAUAUGAAUGUUGUUAUAUUGUACUUAGAAAACUG
RNAcentral lists this long non-coding RNA (8896 nucleotides) under Sarcophilus harrisii (Tasmanian devil). RNAcentral describes it as "lncRNA (ENSSHAG00000023657.1)". Lineage: Eukaryota; Metazoa; Chordata; Mammalia; Dasyuromorphia; Dasyuridae. The record is from RNAcentral.